RNAcentral lists this ribosomal RNA (1395 nucleotides) under Lactiplantibacillus pentosus. RNAcentral's name for it is "bacterial SSU rRNA". It matches the Rfam family "Bacterial small subunit ribosomal RNA". Lineage: Bacteria; Bacillati; Bacillota; Bacilli; Lactobacillales; Lactobacillaceae. The record is from RNAcentral.
ACGAACUCUGGUAUUGAUGUGGUGCUUGCAUCAUGAUUUACAUUUGAGUGAGUGGCGAACUGGUGAGUAACACGUGGGAAACCUGCCCAGAAGCGGGGGAUAACACCUGGAAACAGAUGCUAAUACCGCAUAACAACUUGGACCGCAUGGUCCGAGUUUGAAAGAUGGCUUCGGCUAUCACUUUUGGAUGGUCCCGCGGCGUAUUAGCUAGAUGGUGGGGUAACGGCUCACCAUGGCAAUGAUACGUAGCCGACCUGAGAGGGUAAUCGGCCACAUUGGGACUGAGACACGGCCCAAACUCCUACGGGAGGCAGCAGUAGGGAAUCUUCCACAAUGGACGAAAGUCUGAUGGAGCAACGCCGCGUGAGUGAAGAAGGGUUUCGGCUCGUAAAACUCUGUUGUUAAAGAAGAACAUAUCUGAGAGUAACUGUUCAGGUAUUGACGGUAUUUAACCAGAAAGCCACGGCUAACUACGUGCCAGCAGCCGCGGUAAUACGUAGGUGGCAAGCGUUGUCCGGAUUUAUUGGGCGUAAAGCGAGCGCAGGCGGUUUUUUAAGUCUGAUGUGAAAGCCUUCGGCUCAACCGAAGAAGUGCAUCGGAAACUGGGAAACUUGAGUGCAGAAGAGGACAGUGGAACUCCAUGUGUAGCGGUGAAAUGCGUAGAUAUAUGGAAGAACACCAGUGGCGAAGGCGGCUGUCUGGUCUGUAACUGACGCUGAGGCUCGAAAGUAUGGGUAGCAAACAGGAUUAGAUACCCUGGUAGUCCAUACCGUAAACGAUGAAUGCUAAGUGUUGGAGGGUUUCCGCCCUUCAGUGCUGCAGCUAACGCAUUAAGCAUUCCGCCUGGGGAGUACGGCCGCAAGGCUGAAACUCAAAGGAAUUGACGGGGGCCCGCACAAGCGGUGGAGCAUGUGGUUUAAUUCGAAGCUACGCGAAGAACCUUACCAGGUCUUGACAUACUAUGCAAAUCUAAGAGAUUAGACGUUCCCUUCGGGGACAUGGAUACAGGUGGUGCAUGGUUGUCGUCAGCUCGUGUCGUGAGAUGUUGGGUUAAGUCCCGCAACGAGCGCAACCCUUAUUAUCAGUUGCCAGCAUUAAGUUGGGCACUCUGGUGAGACUGCCGGUGACAAACCGGAGGAAGGUGGGGAUGACGUCAAAUCAUCAUGCCCCUUAUGACCUGGGCUACACACGUGCUACAAUGGAUGGUACAACGAGUUGCGAACUCGCGAGAGUAAGCUAAUCUCUUAAAGCCAUUCUCAGUUCGGAUUGUAGGCUGCAACUCGCCUACAUGAAGUCGGAAUCGCUAGUAAUCGCGGAUCAGCAUGCCGCGGUGAAUACGUUCCCGGGCCUUGUACACACCGCCCGUCACACCAUGAGAGUUUGUAACACCCAAAG